ACCGCACAAGCAGCGGAGCGUGUGGUUUAAUUCGUUGCUACACGAAGAACCUUACCUAGGUUUGACAUAUAGGUUGUAGGGAACUGAAAAGGGACCGACCCUUCGGGGAGCCUAUACAGGUGUUGCAUGGUUGUCGUCAGCUCGUGUCGUGAGAUGUUGGGUUAAGUCCCGCAACGAGCGCAACCCUCACUGUGUGUUAUAUGUGUCACACGGGACCGCCGGUCUUAAGCCGGAGGAAGGUGGGGAUGACGUCAAGUCAGCAUGGCCUUUAUAUCCUGGGCUACACACACGCUACAAUGGCCAACACAAUAGGUUGCUAAGCCGCGAGGUGGAGCCAAUCCAUAAAGUUGGUCUCAGUUCAGAUUGUAGGCUGCAACCCGCCUGCAUGAAGAUGGAGUUGCUAGUAACCGCAGGUCAGCUAUACUGCGGUGAAUACGUUCCCGGGGCUU
This 449-nucleotide ribosomal RNA is filed under the name uncultured Anaerolineaceae bacterium. RNAcentral's name for it is "bacterial SSU rRNA". It matches the Rfam family "Bacterial small subunit ribosomal RNA", at positions 921 to 1377 of the family's 1533-position model. Lineage: Bacteria; Bacillati; Chloroflexota; Anaerolineae; Anaerolineales; Anaerolineaceae. The record is from RNAcentral.